GUCUAUGGCCAUACCACCUUGAACAUGCCAGAUGUCACCUGAUCUCAGAGGCUAAGCAGGGUCAGGCCUGGUUAGUACUUGGAUGCGGGGACUGCCUGGGAAUACCGGGUGCUGUAGGCU
This 120-nucleotide ribosomal RNA is filed under the name Prolemur simus (greater bamboo lemur). The record is from RNAcentral. Lineage: Eukaryota; Metazoa; Chordata; Mammalia; Primates; Lemuridae.